This 467-nucleotide ribosomal RNA is filed under the name uncultured bacterium. Its description in RNAcentral is "partial 16S ribosomal RNA". It matches the Rfam family "Bacterial small subunit ribosomal RNA", at positions 28 to 507 of the family's 1533-position model. The record is from RNAcentral.
GAUGAACGCUGACAGAAUGCUUAACACAUGCAAGUCCACUUGAAUUUGGGUUUUUAACUUAGGUUUGGGUGGCGGACGGGUGAGUAACGCGUAAAGAACCUGCCUCACAGCUAGGGACAACAUUUGGAAACGAAUGCUAAUACCUAAUAUUAUGAUAAUAGGGCAUCCUAUAAUUAUGAAAGCUAUAAGCGCUGUGAGAGAGCUUUGCGUCCCAUUAGCUAGUUGGAGAGGUAACGGCUCACCAAGGCGACGAUGGGUAGCCGGCCUGAGAGGGUGAUCGGCCACAAGGGGACUGAGACACGGCCCUUACUCCAACGGGAGGCAGCAGUGGGGAAUAUUGGACAAUGGACCGAGAGUCUGAUCCAGCAAUUCUGUGUGCACGAUGAAGUUUUUCGGAAUGUAAAGUGCUUUCAGUUGGGAAGAAACAAAUGACGGUACCAACAGAAGAAGUGACGGCUAAAUACGUG